GACGAACGCUGGCGGCGUGCCUAAUACAUGCAAGUCGAACGAACCGCGACUGAGUGCUUGCACUUGGUCAAGGUGAGUGGCGAACGGGUGAGUAACACGUGGGUAACCUACCUCACAGUGGGGGAUAACAGUCGGAAACGACUGCUAAUACCGCAUAGGACAUGGAAUCACAUGAUUCUGUGAGGAAAGGUGGCGCAAGCUAUCGCUAAGAGAUGGACCCGCGGUGCAUUAGCUAGUUGGUAGGGUAACGGCCUACCAAGGCGAUGAUGCAUAGCCGACCUGAGAGGGUGAUCGGCCACAUUGGGACUGAGACACGGCCCAAACUCCUACGGGAGGCAGCAGUAGGGAAUCUUCCGCAAUGGACGCAAGUCUGACGGAGCAACGCCGCGUGAGUGAAGAAGGUCUUCGGAUCGUAAAGCUCUGUUGUUAGAGAAGAACAGCGCAUAGAGUAAACUG
This 456-nucleotide ribosomal RNA is filed under the name Abiotrophia defectiva. RNAcentral's name for it is "bacterial SSU rRNA". It matches the Rfam family "Bacterial small subunit ribosomal RNA", at positions 28 to 465 of the family's 1533-position model. The record is from RNAcentral. Lineage: Bacteria; Bacillati; Bacillota; Bacilli; Lactobacillales; Aerococcaceae.